RNAcentral lists this ribosomal RNA (478 nucleotides) under uncultured bacterium. Its description in RNAcentral is "partial 16S ribosomal RNA". It matches the Rfam family "Bacterial small subunit ribosomal RNA", at positions 28 to 507 of the family's 1533-position model. The record is from RNAcentral.
GAUGAACGCUAGCGGCAGGCCUAACACAUGCAAGUCGAGGGAGAAGCCCUUUCGGGGGCAGAAACCGGCGCACGGGUGCGUAACGCGUAUGCAACCUACCUUUCACAGGGGGAUAGCCCGAAGAAAUUUGGAUUAAUACCCCAUAAUAUUAUUGGAUGGCAUCAUUUGAUAAUUAAAACUGCGGUGGUGAAAGAUGGGCAUGCGUCCUAUUAGCUAGUUGGAGUGGUAACGGCACCCCAAGGCUACGAUAGGUAGGGGUCCUGAGAGGGAGAUCCCCCACAAUGGUACGGAGACAGGGACCAGACGCCUACGGGAGGCAGCAGUGAGGAAUAUUGGUCAAUGGUCGGAAGACUGAACCAGCCAUGCCGCGUGCAGGAAGAAUGCCUUAUGGGUUGUAAACUGCUUUUAUAUGGGAAGAAUAAGGUGUACGUGUACAUUGAUGACGGUACCAGAUGAAUAAGCAUCGGCUAACUCCGUG